This is a long non-coding RNA of Eubalaena glacialis (North Atlantic right whale), 722 nucleotides long. RefSeq lists it as uncharacterized. Lineage: Eukaryota; Metazoa; Chordata; Mammalia; Artiodactyla; Balaenidae. The record is from RefSeq and is a predicted model, not a curated record. The transcript has 8 exons.
CCAGCAAGACAGGACCAAGAGAAGCUGGUAGCAACAGGAUCUGACCAAAUGAAAAGUGCAAGAGGGAAACCCAGAUAGCAGCUGAACAGCCUCUAAUACCUGCAAGAUGGUCUGCUUCUGAAGGUGACAUUGUCCAGACUUUAUCAGAAGUGGAUCUGGCUUCAUUGCAUGGCAAAUUCCCAGAUGAGGAUGCCCUCAUCCAUGGACUGUUUCAUCCACGGCACUGCUGCACUUUAUGAGAGAGAAGGAGCAAGAAAGGGAAGAACAGUUAAUAGAAGACAAGAGAAGGAAGAAAGAGGAUAAAAAGAAAAAAGAAGCCACUCAGAAGAACAUCCCAAGCUACAACAAACUGGCUCCUCCAUCCCCCCAUACCCAGACCAGGAUGUGAGUUGUCUUGGUUGACACUGAAGAAUGAAUAGAAUGAAGGUGCAGUGGGGAAUCCAGAUGCCAUCUAAGAAGCCUGACUUACCUGAGGCCACCAUGCUAUAAGGAAGCCCAAGAUAGCCGUGUGGAGAGAGAGGGGCCAUGCAGAAGAUCACUGAAGUGUCUGUCAUGUUAAGUUCCAGGCUUACCAUAUUGAUCGAAUGGGACCUUCAGCCAAGUUUUCACCCCUUGGAGUGCCACCUUUCAUCUAAGAGCACAGGCUCCAGACGCGCAGGCUCAGUAGUUGUGGCUCACGGGCCUAGUUGCUCCAUGGCAUGUGGGAUCUUCCCAGACCAGGG